Molecule: ribosomal RNA, 413 nt
Filed under: uncultured microorganism
Description: bacterial SSU rRNA
Rfam family: Archaeal small subunit ribosomal RNA
Source: RNAcentral
GUGCACCAGGCGAGAAACCUCCGCAAUACACGAAAGUGUGACGGGGCCAUCCCGAGUGCCGUCCGCUGAGGACGGCUUUUCCCCAGUGUACACAGCUGGGGGAAUAAGGAGAGGGCAAGCCUGGUGUCAGCCGCCGCGGUAAUACCAGCUCUCCGAGUGGUGGGGACGCUUAUUGGGCCUAAAGCAUCCGUAGCCGGCUGGGCAAGUCCUCCGUUAAAUCCAACGAUUCAAUCGUUGGGCUGCGGGGGAUACUGUCCAGCUUGGGGGCGGGAGAGGCCGACGGUAUUCCCGGGGUAGGGGUGAAAUCCUAUAAUCCCGGGAGGACCACCAGUGGCGAAGGCUGUCGGCUAGAACGCGCCCGACGGUGAGGGAUGAAAGCUGGGGGAGCGAACCGGAUUAGAUACCCGGGUAGU